Molecule: ribosomal RNA, 210 nt
Filed under: uncultured bacterium
Lineage: Bacteria
Description: partial 16S ribosomal RNA
Rfam family: Bacterial small subunit ribosomal RNA
Source: RNAcentral
GUUCGGAUUGUAGGCUGCGACUCGCCUACAUGAAGUUGGAAUCGCUAGUAAUCGCGAAUCAGAAUGUCGCGGUGAAUACGUUCCCGGGUCUUGUACACACCGCCCGUCACACCACGAGAGUUUACAACACCCGAAGUCAGUGGCCUAACCGCAAGGAGGGAGCUGCCUAAGGUGGGGUAGAUGAUUGGGGUGAAGUCGUAACAAGGUAAC